Non-coding RNA from Vicia faba (fava bean), 231 nucleotides. Lineage: Eukaryota; Viridiplantae; Streptophyta; Magnoliopsida; Fabales; Fabaceae. The record is from the annotation of a GenBank genome assembly.
AUGGAGAAUCACAGGGUGAAAGAGGAUAUAGUUGAGGUCAUAAAUGGAGGAGAAGAGGAACAAGAACAACAACGGGAGGUGGGUGCCAUUGCUGGUGGUGAAGAGGAUGAGGCUGUUUCCACCAUGACUAUGGAAAGGGUUGCUGCUGCUAAGAAAUUCAUUGAGAAUCAUUAUAGGUCUCAGAUGAAACACAUCCAAGAACGCAAGGAAAGGUUGACUUCCAUAGCUUGA